UACAGAGGGUGCAAGCGUUAAUCGGAAUUACUGGGCGUAAAGGGUGCGUAGGUGGUUUGAUAAGUUAGGUGUGAAAGUCCCGGGCUUAACCUGGGGAUUGCGCUUAAUACUGUUAAGCUAGAGUCCUGUAGAGGGAAGUGGAAUUUCCGGUGUAGCGGUGAAAUGCGUAGAUAUCGGAAGGAACACCAGUGGCGAAGGCGACUUCCUGGACAGAGACUGACACUGAGGCACGAAAGCAUGGGAGCAAACAGG
This 252-nucleotide ribosomal RNA is filed under the name uncultured bacterium. RNAcentral's name for it is "partial 16S ribosomal RNA". It matches the Rfam family "Bacterial small subunit ribosomal RNA", at positions 524 to 776 of the family's 1533-position model. The record is from RNAcentral.